AUUGAACGCUGGCGGCAGGACUAACACAUGCAAGUCGAGCGAGCGGCGGACGGGUGAGUAAUGUAUGGGAAACUGCAUGAUGGAGGGGGAUAACUACUGGAAACGGUAGCUAAUACCGCAUACCAUAAGAUGUGACGAGAUGGGAAUAGCUAGUAGGUGGGGUAAUGGCUCACCUAGGCGACGAUCCCUAGCUGGUCUGAGAGUAUGACCAGCCACACUGGAACUGAGACACGGUCCAGACUCCUACGGGUGGCAGCAGUGGGGAAUAUUGCACAAUGGGCGCAAGCCUGAUGCAGCCAUGCCGGGUGUAUGAAGAAGGCCUUCGGGUUGUAAAGUACUUUCAGCGAUGAGGCGUUACUCGCAGAAGAAGCACCGGCUAACUCCGUGCCAGCCGCCGCGGUAAUAC
RNAcentral lists this ribosomal RNA (406 nucleotides) under uncultured bacterium. RNAcentral's name for it is "partial 16S ribosomal RNA". It matches the Rfam family "Bacterial small subunit ribosomal RNA", at positions 30 to 526 of the family's 1533-position model. The record is from RNAcentral.